UGUCACUGCAAGUGAGGGGUUUCACUGCCAGGCAGAGCGUGGGCAUCAGGGAAAGGCUGGGGGUCAGGGAAAGUUUGGGGAUCAGGGAAGGGUUGGGGAUCAAGGGAAGGUUUGGGAUCAGGGAAAGGCUGGGGAUCAGGGAAGGGUUGGGGAUCAGGGAAGGGUUGGAGAUCAGGGAAGGGUUGGGGAUCAAGGAAAGGUUUGGGAUCAGGGAAAGGUUUGGGAUCAGGGAAGGGUUGGGGAUCAAGGAAAGGUUUGGGAUCAGGGAAAGGUUUGGGAUCAGGGAAGGGUUGGGGAUCAAGGAAAGGUUUGGGGUCAGGGAAAGGUUUGGGGUCAGGGAAGGGUUGGGGAUCAGGGAAAGGCUGGAUUUUGGUCCUCUUCCCCAGAGGGUGCUGGCACUGCCCAGGCUCCCCAGGGAAUGGGCACGGCCCCGAGGCUGCCAGAGCUCCAGGAGAGUUUGGACACCACUCCAGGGAUGCCCAGGGUGGGAUUUUGGCCUGGGGUUGGAUCAGUGAUGCCCGUGGGUCCCUUCCAGCUGAGGAUAUUCUGUGAUUUGGCAGGAUCACGGCGUGGUUUGGGUUGGAAGGGACCUUGGUGUCCAUGUCACCCCAACCCCUUCCACCCGCCCAGGCUGCUCCAAGGCUGCUGCGCUGUUCAAGGUGAGAAGCAGCAGAGCAGAGUUACUGCCCAGCUCUCGGGGUGCCCCGGGCAGAUCACUUUGGAUCUCUCUGAUUCCAGCCUGGCGUGUUCAGGAAGUUUUCCAUACUCCCUCCUCUCUCACCUGUGUUUCCAGUAAUUCCACCGAGCAGCUCCGUGAAUGGUUUGGAGCUGUGCAGAAGCAAAGGAAGUGGGGAAUUCUG
This 860-nucleotide long non-coding RNA is filed under the name Chloebia gouldiae (Gouldian finch). Its description in RNAcentral is "Erythrura gouldiae (Gouldian finch) lncRNA (ENSEGOG00005015596.1)". Lineage: Eukaryota; Metazoa; Chordata; Aves; Passeriformes; Passeridae. The record is from RNAcentral.